RNAcentral lists this ribosomal RNA (301 nucleotides) under uncultured bacterium. Its description in RNAcentral is "partial 16S ribosomal RNA". It matches the Rfam family "Bacterial small subunit ribosomal RNA", at positions 509 to 807 of the family's 1533-position model. The record is from RNAcentral.
CAGUCGCCGCGGUAAUACGAAGGGGGCUAGCGUUGUUCGGAUUAACUGGGCGUAAAGGGCGCGUAGGCGGGUUUUUAAGUCAGAGGUGAAAUCCCAAGGCUCAACCUUGGAACUGCCUUUGAUACUGGAAGUCUUGAGUCCGGGAGAGGUGAGUGGAACUGCGAGUGUAGAGGUGAAAUUCGUAGAUAUUCGCAAGAACACCAGUGGCGAAGGCGGCUCACUGGCCCGGUACUGACGCUGAGGCGCGAAAGCGUGGGGAGCAAACAGGAUUAGAUACCCCCGUAGUCCCUGUCUCUUAUAC